RNAcentral lists this transfer RNA (77 nucleotides) under Nakamurella silvestris. RNAcentral describes it as "tRNA-Leu". It matches the Rfam family "tRNA". Rfam says of the family: Transfer RNA (tRNA) molecules are approximately 80 nucleotides in length. The record is from RNAcentral. Lineage: Bacteria; Bacillati; Actinomycetota; Actinomycetes; Nakamurellales; Nakamurellaceae.
GCCCCUGUAUCCCAAUUGGCAGAGGAAACGGAUUCAAAACCCGUGCAGUGUCAGUUCGAGUCUGACCAGGGGCACCU